RNAcentral lists this long non-coding RNA (4105 nucleotides) under Sus scrofa (pig). Its description in RNAcentral is "lncRNA (ENSSSCG00000063442.1)". The record is from RNAcentral. Lineage: Eukaryota; Metazoa; Chordata; Mammalia; Artiodactyla; Suidae.
GGGUCUAAUCAGAGCUGUAGCCACUAGCCUAUGCCAGAGCCAUAGCAACGCGGGAUCCCAGCUGCAUCUGCGACCUACACCACAGCUCACGGCAACGCCGGAUCCUUAACCCACUGAGCAAGGCCAGGGAUCAAACCCUCAAUCUCAUGGUUCCUAGUCGGAUUUGUUAACCACUGUGCCAUGACGGGAACUCUUAAGUGUUGGAUUCAGAUAUGUCUCUGUUGCUUCUGUUACACUGAACUGUUUCCUAGGUCAUACCAGUUAUGAUAGAUCAGAUAAUAGGCACAGUAGAUCUAACGAAAGUUUAGAGAAUACAAUGAAAAGAUCAGGGAAUUAACAAGCAGUAUAGUAAAAGUAUUAGAGAAGUGAUAAAUGUUCAUUAACACUGAAUUAUGCAUGGUAUAGAUAAAUAAAUGAAUAAGUAAGGAUAUAAGCUUGUCUUCAGAUAACUCAUAUAUAAUUGAAAAGAAAAUGCAUGCACAAGAGAAAAAUCAUUCAAAAGUUUUGGGUAUAAUAUUUUGGAGGUAGGACUUUGGAGAAAGAGAAAUCGAUUUGUAUAACACUGAGUCCGGCUGUUCAAUACCAAAGUCACUAGUCAAACAUGAGUAGUUACUGAACACUUGAAUUGUGUGCUAAUGCAAAUUGAGAUGGCCCAAAAGUGUUAAUUAAAUAUAGAGAAUUUCUUAGUAAAAAAAAAAUAAAUGAUUUAAUUAAAUUUUAUAUUAAUAUCAAAAUAAUAUUUUGAUAUAUAUGGUUAAAUGACAUAUAUUCUUAAAAUCAUUUUUAUUCUCUUUUCAGACUUUUUUUUAACAUGGCUACUAGAAAAUUUUAAAUUGCAUACAUGGCCCACAUUUAACCUUAUUGGAUAGGGACUGACUUAGAGAGGACAUGGAGAGCUCCCAGAACUGCUUGGAAGGAUGAGAUGAAGAGCAGGCCUGGGAAGCGGAGAAAGACAAGGAGUCAGUGGAAUAGUAGGAGACUUUUUGGUGACACUUUCCAUAGUUCUAAAUCAAACUGCAAAACCUUUCUCGUAAGCAUUUCUUGUGAAAAAGCCCAGUUUUGCAUGCAAGACAAAGGAAGGUAACUAUUCUGUGUCACCAGAAUACCUAAGCUUGAGGGGUCUAGGAGAGUGUAAUUUCAUCCCUCUUCACAUCUCAAAUUGAACCAGUGUGAGAAGCUGUGGACUUCAUCACAAUUUAAAAUCAAGUUUAGUUAGCCUUCUCAAAGAUGAGGGAACCAUUCUUUAGCCUCUGGAUUAUAAAUUAUUCUUAAGAAAUAUAAAUAGCACUCUAAAUACCAGAUUAAUUAAAUCCAUUCAGUAAUAUUUAGUGUAUACUUACCAAGUACUUUGUGCAGUGGUGAAAACAGAAAUGAUCUCCACAUCAGUGUCAUGGCAGCUGACUUAUAUCUGCAUUAAAUAAAUGAGCAUAAAUUGAUAAUGAAACAAAGGAAAUAAGACUCACACAUCUAUUACUGUAACAUAAGGAGAAAGUAUUCUGUGUUAUGAGAGCUUAGUGGCAAAAGAAAGAAUUUCCAUCUAGGCAUAUGCUACAAUUUUAUAGAGGAGAUGGCAUUAAAACUGAUUCUUACAGAAAGGUUUGGUCAUACAUAUGUGCAAAUUUUGAAGGGUGUGUUCUAUGUAUAUUUAACAAAGUUAACGUUGAAGAGAAAGUUUUGUAAUGCUGGAUAAUUCAAGUUGUUUAGAGUGAAGAGAUUUUAAGUUAGUGUACCAUGUGGAAGAAUAAAUUUGGACCAUAAUCUUGAAAAGCCUACAAUAGUAAGGUCGUGAGUUUCAAUGAGGGAGAUAAUAUCGUGUAAGAGCAAUGUUGAAUAAUAAUAAUAUUAAAAGUAAUGAUAAUAAUGGUUUAUUUACAUGUAAAAAAGUCAACAAUGUAAACCUGUUCUGUGAUUGCUAGACACAUUUAAUAGAAGUGACAAUAAUGGGAAAAUAACAACAACAAAUACAAUUUGAUUUGCUAAUGCAUGAUCUGUUUUUAGGUAAUUAAAAAAAAUUACAUUUAUAAUGCACCUUCACUAACGGUUUCUCAGAUUUCCUUGACCAUCUUAAUUGGUCUAACCCAUGCAAUCAUUCCUACUUCUGUACUAAGUCAAAAUAGUAUAUUACAAGGCCUGAGAUCUUGCUUCUUAACUUCUGUGGAGCUCAAUGAAGCAACCUGGAAAUGGAAAAGCCAGUGAGAGAUAAGAGACUGAAGGAAUCUAAGCAUACACAUUUUCCUUGUUUUCUUCCCUGUUUGUACAAUUUACAGGUAUGGUUCUCUCUGCAGUCAACCUUCCAUUGAAUUCCCACAUGACAGGGAAACACAUUUGCUGUGUUGCUUUCAGUAUCUCUUUGCAGCUCAUCGGGAAGCAGUAGACAUAACAGUAAUACACUUCAUGCUUCUUCUUGCCUCCCCCCCCGCCACCCCAUGUUGAGCUUCCAUCUUCCAAAUAAAGACUCUGGCUAAGAAAGGGAUAUUGACAAGUGUGAUUAAGUCAAAAGGAGGGGAGAAAUAUAUAUAUAUAUAUUGUCUUUGUCUUUUGUCUUUUGAGGGCAGCACCUGUGGCAUGUAGAGGUUCCCAGGGCUAGGGGUUGAAUCAGAGCUGUAGCUGCCGGCCUACACCACAUCCACAGUAACACCAGAGCCAAGCUGCAUCUGCAACCCACAUCACAACUCACCCCAGAUCCUUAACCCACUGAGCGAGGCCAGGGAUCGAACACACAACCUCAUGGUUCCUAGUUGGAUUCAUUUCCGCUGAGCCAUGACGGGCACCCCUCAGUAAUAUUUUUAAGUGCUUUCUAUGUUCCCAAUUUUUUUUUCAGUACUUUCACAAAUUAUCUUUGAGAGUCCUUCAUAGUAAUGCCAUUAUUUACAUUUACAGAUAAGGAAAUAGAGGUUCAGAAAUGGAGAAUAUAUUACUUGUGCUUAAACAGGUAGUAGGGGAUAGAAUGAAGGUUCAGAGUUUGGAUAAGUUGCUUAUCAUGAUAGAAGUAGUAGAAGAAAUACAACUCAGAGAGGUGACCUAACUGAUUGUAUCCAAACUCAAGUUAAUGGAGGGAGAAAAGAAUUUCACAGUCUUGACAUAACUUAUUCUGUAAUUGAUAUCAAUUGCUUUGUCUCACUCCCUCUCGCAGAGGAAGGAAGGAAAGAAGAUGAGGAAAUCUUAUAAAAGAUUAAAAUGAUUAAGAUGCCUACAAAGAAGAAAAGAUAAUUCAAAGGACAAAGGCGCUUUUAAGUAUAUGAAGUAUUUUCUUAUGAAAAAGACAUUUCAGAUUAUGACUAUAAAAUCCAAAAGUAAAAGAGAAAAAUAGCAAAAAAACUCACUUUGGCUGAAAAAAAAAAUUCUGCAAACUGGUAACUACUUAAAAAAAAAAAAGCCUACGAUGCGUGAUUUUGCCCAUCACUGGUAUCCCUGUAGGAGGGAUCAAAUAUGGUCUGAAAGAUUUUAGGACUAUGCUGUGGAGAAAAUGUUGGAUUCAAUUAUCUUUAUAGUAAUCCUUUCUAACACAGAGAUUAUAUGAUUUUGAAAUUUUCUCAUUUGACUAAAUUUUGAAUGCACUAAAGUUUUAAAAGCAAGACAUUAUGAAUAGUUACUAUGAAUAGAUACUAUGACCAUUUGCCCCCAAAUUUCAGCUAGGCAAAGAUUUCCUUUUAAUCAUGCAAAUUAAUACUGGAAAAUAGGCAUCUCAUUCACAGUGUCAUGAGUUUCUAACCUUAAACUAAUGCAGUGCCCACAUCAUUGUGUGACUAUUUUGGAAAGAAUUAAUUCUUCAUUUCAUAAGAAAAAAUUGUGUAAAGGUCAAGGUAAGGCUUUCGUUCUUGAUAAAGAAUGUGUUGAUGUCAACUUUAACCCAAUAAUUGCCCUCUGUUAUCAAGAGUAUUAUAUAUAAAACUUCAGUGACAUGUGGAACAUAAAUCAGUUCUGAGUAGGUGUUAAAAAUACCCAGGGAGUUAAUGUAGCUUUUGAGAUCUAGGGUAUACUAAAUUAUCUCGUUAUUUCAAAUAUGAUCUUCAAACCUAGAUCUUCAAUCUCUUUUUUAUUAUAAAACUUAUAAUAAAAAAGAAUUCAUAAUUAUCAUUAAUAUCAACAAAUCUUAUAUAUAUUC